This 300-nucleotide long non-coding RNA is filed under the name Apteryx owenii (little spotted kiwi). Its description in RNAcentral is "lncRNA (ENSAOWG00000006853.1)". Lineage: Eukaryota; Metazoa; Chordata; Aves; Apterygiformes; Apterygidae. The record is from RNAcentral.
GCUUCCUGAGCCUGAAUAAACCCAUUGUGAUCACAAUGACCUGUGUAAUUCAACUGAAUAAGAAUAAGCUUCACAAUGAGCUGCCUGCAUGUGCCCUGGGGAUCCCACCCCCAGCAAACCAACAGGUCCUUUUAAUGCUUCGAGACCUUCUCACCUGCCUCAGCACCUCCAAUGUCUCAGAUGCGGCAACUAUGUGAAAAGUGAAAAUUUUUAAAGUGAAGCUAUAUACAGUCCAUCCUUCAGAGACAGAGAACUGCUGGCAGAAGAAAGCUUUGGUGCUCUGUUCCCCACCAAAUCCAG